GCCCUAGUGGCGGAAUUGGUAGACGCGGCAGACUCAAAAUCUGUUAUUCGCAAGGAUGUGGGGGUUCAAGUCCCUCCUGGGGCACCA
RNAcentral lists this transfer RNA (87 nucleotides) under Alphaproteobacteria bacterium. Its description in RNAcentral is "tRNA-Leu". It matches the Rfam family "tRNA". From Rfam's summary of the family: Transfer RNA (tRNA) molecules are approximately 80 nucleotides in length. Lineage: Bacteria; Pseudomonadati; Pseudomonadota; Alphaproteobacteria. The record is from RNAcentral.